RNAcentral lists this long non-coding RNA (708 nucleotides) under Salvia miltiorrhiza (redroot sage). RNAcentral describes it as "long non-coding RNA (SMIL_LNC013937)". Lineage: Eukaryota; Viridiplantae; Streptophyta; Magnoliopsida; Lamiales; Lamiaceae. The record is from RNAcentral.
CACAAUAUCGAGACCAACAACUCAAUUUUGAUCCCUACUAUGCAAUUAAUUCAUUCAAUUAUGCAUUCUAGAAAUUACGAUUCAAUAUUAUCGAAUCACACGGUAUCUUCAACAAAUUCCAAAAACUAUGCAAUUACACGUUUUAUUCAACAAGAUUCGAAACAUUCGGUAUAUUAAACAAAAUCCAUCAAUUUAUUGUGCAAAUAAGAUAAAAUUCCCCGGCAUAUUCAACAAGUAUUAACAAUAACAAAAGAAAACCCAUACAUACAAAGUGUACAAAAAAAUCGUAGACAAUUUGAUAUCUAUGCAUCAACAUCCAACAUCUAUGCCACAACAACAUUCAUCUAUGCAUUCUAAAAAAAAUAACAAAAAAAAUCGUAAGGCAAAUUGACAUCUAUGCAUCAACAUCUAACAUUUAUGCAACAACAACCAUCAUCUAUACUAUCUAAAAAUAAUUAACAAAAAAAAUCGUAAGCAAUUUUAAUUCUAUGCAACAACAACGCACAUCUAUGCAACAACAACCAUCAUCUAUUCAAUUUUAAAAAAAUUAACAAAAAUUCAACAACUUUGCAACAACAUCCAACAUCAAUGCAAUUGAAAUUCGAAAUGGUUAAGCAAUAGUCUGUUUUGAAUCGCCUGAAGAAAAGUCGAGUUCGCCGCCGCCUUGAAAUCGCUCCGCCUACGCCUCCGCCUACUUAGAAUCGCCGG